This 596-nucleotide ribosomal RNA is filed under the name uncultured bacterium. Its description in RNAcentral is "bacterial SSU rRNA". It matches the Rfam family "Bacterial small subunit ribosomal RNA", at positions 28 to 621 of the family's 1533-position model. The record is from RNAcentral.
AUUGAACGCUGGCGGCAUGCCUUACACAUGCAAGUCGAACGGUAACAGGUCUUCGGAUGCUGACGAGUGGCGAACGGGUGAGUAAUACAUCGGAACGUGCCCGAUCGUGGGGGAUAACGAAGCGAAAGCUUUGCUAAUACCGCAUAAGAUCUAAGGAUGAAAGCAGGGGACCGCAAGGCCUUGCGCGAACGGAGCGGCCGAUGGCAGAUUAGGUAGUUGGUGGGAUAAAAGCUUACCAAGCCGACGAUCUGUAGCUGGUCUGAGAGGACGACCAGCCACACUGGGACUGAGACACGGCCCAGACUCCUACGGGAGGCAGCAGUGGGGAAUUUUGGACAAUGGGCGCAAGCCUGAUCCAGCCAUGCCGCGUGCAGGAUGAAGGCCUUCGGGUUGUAAACUGCUUUUGUACGGAACGAAAAGACUCUUUCUAAUAAAGAGGGUCCAUGACGGUACCGUAAGAAUAAGCACCGGCUAACUACGUGCCAGCAGCCGCGGUAAUACGUAGGGUGCAAGCGUUAAUCGGAAUUACUGGGCGUAAAGCGUGCGCAGGCGGUUAUGUAAGACAGAUGUGAAAUCCCCGGGCUCAACCUGGGAAC